CGGGUGAGUAACACGUGGAUAACCUACCUAUAAGACUGGGAUAACUACGGGAAACCGGAGCUAAUACCGGAUAAUAUAUUGAACCGCAUGGUUCAAUAGUGAAAGACGGUUUUGCUGUCACUUAUAGAUGGAUCCGCGCCGCAUUAGCUAGUUGGUAAGGUAACGGCUUACCAAGGCAACGAUGCGUAGCCUACCUGAGAGGGUGAUCGGCCACACUGGAACUGAGACACGGUCCAG
RNAcentral lists this ribosomal RNA (237 nucleotides) under uncultured Staphylococcus sp. Its description in RNAcentral is "partial 16S ribosomal RNA". It matches the Rfam family "Bacterial small subunit ribosomal RNA", at positions 103 to 334 of the family's 1533-position model. Lineage: Bacteria; Bacillati; Bacillota; Bacilli; Caryophanales; Staphylococcaceae. The record is from RNAcentral.